GAAAGCCGUAUGCAGGGAGACUUGCAAGUACGGUUUGGGGGCAGGCUGGAGGAAACCUACCGCCGAAAGGCGGCAAGGCGCUUCCUGCCGAGCCUAC
This 97-nucleotide non-coding RNA is filed under the name Hoylesella pleuritidis F0068. Lineage: Bacteria; Pseudomonadati; Bacteroidota; Bacteroidia; Bacteroidales; Prevotellaceae. The record is from RNAcentral.